GGGCGGGGCCGGGGCGGGGCCUUCGCGAAGCUCCCAGAGGGUGCGGCCGCCCAGAGCGAACCCCGAGCGCCAGCGAGCGGCGCGGUGAGACGUGGCCUCGUGCAGGUAGUACCACGAGAGCUUGUCUGGCAAGGAGGCUGAGAAACUGCUGCUGCAGAAGGGACGUCCGGGCAGCUUCCUGGUGCACGAGAGUCACAGCAAUCCUGGGGACUUCCCGCUGUCAGCGCUGACGCAGGGGUGGGACAAGCCAGAUGAGAAGUACGAUGUGGGAGACAGGGAGCACUUUGGUAUCCUCGGAGACCCGGUGGAGCCCGGCGAUGGAGAAGGCAGGGGCUGUCGUGCACCUCAAGCAGGUAUCAGAAGCAGAGAGAGCGAGCGAAGGCAGCAUACAUCAGCGUUUUCUUCUCUGCACUUACAAGAAAGAUCAAAGACUUUAAGACUUCCACUAUUUCUUCUACCGCCAUCUACUACGAACUCCAAAGAGGAACCAGGAGUACGGGAGGAGCAUGAACGUGGACAAGGAGCGUGACCGUUG
Molecule: long non-coding RNA, 535 nt
Organism: Rhinopithecus roxellana (golden snub-nosed monkey)
Lineage: Eukaryota; Metazoa; Chordata; Mammalia; Primates; Cercopithecidae
Exons: 4
Source: RefSeq, a predicted model, not a curated record